This 394-nucleotide ribosomal RNA is filed under the name uncultured bacterium. RNAcentral's name for it is "bacterial SSU rRNA". It matches the Rfam family "Bacterial small subunit ribosomal RNA", at positions 93 to 507 of the family's 1533-position model. The record is from RNAcentral.
AGUUGGCGAACGGGUGAGUAACACGUGAGCAACCUGCCCCUGGCUCUGGGAUAGCCUCCGGAAACGGGGAUUAAUACCGGACAUGACCUGCUCCUGCAUGGGGGCGGGUGGAAAGUUUUUCGGCCGGGGAGGGGCUCGCGGCCUAUCAGCUUGUUGGGGGGGUAACGGCCCACCAAGGCGACGACGGGUAGCCGGCCUGAGAGGGCGACCGGCCACACUGGGACUGAGACACGGCCCAGACUCCUACGGGAGGCAGCAGUGGGGAAUAUUGCACAAUGGGCGGAAGCCUGAUGCAGCGACGCCGCGUGCGGGAUGAAGGCCUUCGGGUUGUAAACCGCUUUCAGCAGGGGCGAAUUUGACGGUACCUGCAGAAGAAGCGCCGGCUAACUACGUG